UUUUGUAACCCAUUUUGGUUCACAUGCAGAUUAACUUUGACCAGAUCCUUACCCAAUAUUCCCCCUCCCCUUGUCCCUUCACUUCACUUUAGAAAGUAGACAGGGGAAUCUAAAUAUUUAUGAGGUCUUUUUCUCCCCCUCCAUGGUUUAUGAUGUGCUGUUGUUGGAUGUUGAGGAAUUACGUUAAUGAAUGCAUGCCUGCACACACAGACACAGAAACCAGGCAAAGGGGGAACACACACACAAAGCUCGGUCAGCUCUCAUGUGGGCACUUACCAAACAGUUCCCAUGGAAAGGCAGCGGGGAGAGGGAGCAGGCUCCACAUCCUUUGCCAGAAGAAUUGUACAGGGAAAUACAAAGGGCUGCCUCUUUGCUUUCCUCAGCCGCAAGUAUAUAACUUGUUGCAGCUAAUUAAAAAGAUGAAAACUGUGACACAGAGUGGUCAAGAUAGAAGAAGUUAUUUAUGAGGAAGAAUAUACCAGCAAGGAGAGCCUGCAACUGUCUGCUUUUCCCCAACUCCAUUAGGAAGGACAAGAUGGUACUCUCUUCUUUCCUCCUCCGUUGGAAAGCAAAACCAGAGGAUGAGAGAAGAGGACUGACCGUGUCAUGCAGUCAGGUGAAGUGACCUACUUCUGCAUUACCAAGCAAAAAUAAAGGAAGAAACAAAGCAGGACUUUUAAAAUGUUGGUCCUAAUAAGUGAGGCAGCACGGCCAGCACUGUGAAAGAGCGGGAUAAAGCAACAAACUUUACAAAGGCACCCUUUUAUGUUCAAAGAACCAGAAAUGUCUUGCUUUGGGAAAUGGUGAUUGAGUAUCUCUUACUGCAAAUACUUGUAACUGGAAGGAUUUUGUAUUGUGGAAUUUCUCAGAUUUUGGAAUAUCUUUAUUUGCAUAUAACUACACACAAUGAGAUUUCUUGGAGAUGGAAUAAAAGUGUAAACAUAAAAUUAAUUAUUUUUCAAAUAUACUUUAUACACAUAAA
This is a long non-coding RNA of Anolis carolinensis (green anole), 982 nucleotides long. RefSeq lists it as uncharacterized. Lineage: Eukaryota; Metazoa; Chordata; Lepidosauria; Squamata; Anolidae. The record is from RefSeq and is a predicted model, not a curated record. The transcript has 3 exons.